CCUGGUUGAUCCUGCCAGUAGUCAUAUGCUUGUCUCAAAGAUUAAGCCAUGCAUGUCUAAGUUCAAGCGAAAAUAAAGUGAAACCGCGAAUGGCUCAUUACAUCAGUUAUGGUUCCUUAGAUCGCACUUACUACUUGGAUAACUGUGGUAAUUCUAGAGCUAAUACAUGCGCUGGGCCCCAACCCUCGUGGAAGGGGCGCUUUUAUUAGAUCAAAGCCAAUCGGGCCUUCGGGCUCGUUAACUUGGUGACUCUGAAUAACUUUGCUGAUCGCACGGUCUCGCACCGGCGACGUAUCUUUCAAGUGUCUGCCUUAUCAACUGUCGAUGGUAGGUUAUGCGCCUACCAUGGUGGUAACGGGUAACGGGGAAUUAGGGUUCGAUUCCGGAGAGGGAGCCUGAGAAACGGCUACCACAUCCAAGGAAGGCAGCAGGCGCGCAAAUUACCCACUCCCAGCUCGGGGAGGUAGUGACGAAAAAUAACGAUACGGAACUCUUAUGAGGCUCCGUAAUCGGAAUGAGUACACUUUAAAUCCUUUAACGAGGAUCUAUUGGAGGGCAAGUCUGGUGCCAGCAGCCGCGGUAAUUCCAGCUCCAAUAGCGUAUAUUAAUGUUGUUGCGGUUAAAAAGCUCGUAGUUGGAUCUCGGUUUCGGGCGAGCGGUGCGCCUUGCGGCGUCUACUGUUUGCCCGGACGAUUUUGCUGGUUCGUUCCUGGUUCUCUUAACCGAGUGCCAGGAGUGGCCAGCACGUUUACUUUGAAAAAAUUGGAGUGCUCAAAGCAGGCGCUACAGCCUGAACAUUAGUGCAUGGAAUAAUGGAAUAGGACCUCGGUUCUAUUUCGUUGGCUUUCGGAGUCGAGGUAAUGAUUAAUAGGGACAGACGGGGGCAUUCGUACUGCGACGUUAGAGGUGAAAUUCUUGGAUCGUCGCAAGACGAACUACUGCGAAAGCAUUUGCCAAGAAUGUUUUCAUUAAUCAAGAACGAAAGUUAGAGGUUCGAAGGCGAUCAGAUACCGCCCUAGUUCUAACCAUAAACGAUGUCGACUGGCGAUCCGCUAUCGUUAACUGAAAGACUUAGCGGGCAGCCUCCGGGAAACCAAAGUGUUUGGAUUCUGGGGGGAGUAUGACUGCAAAAUUGAAACUUAAAAGAAUUGACGGAAGGGCACCACCAGGAGUGGAGCCUGCGGCUUAAUUUGACCCAACACGGGAAAUCUCACCAGGCCCGGACACCGGUAGGAUUGACAGAUUGAGAGCUCUUUCUUGAUUCGGUGGGUGGUGGUGCAUGGCCGUUCUUAGUUGGUGGAGCGAUUUGUCUGGUUAAUCCAAAAG
RNAcentral lists this ribosomal RNA (1326 nucleotides) under metagenome. Its description in RNAcentral is "SSU rRNA". It matches the Rfam family "Eukaryotic small subunit ribosomal RNA", at positions 3 to 1331 of the family's 1831-position model. The record is from RNAcentral.